CAUAGCCAGGUUUGCAGGUCACACACACCUUCAGCUAAAGCCCCCACCUGCCCAGGGACCAUAGCCUGGUUUGCAGGUCACACACACCUUCAGCUAAAGCCCCACCUGCCCAGGGACCAUGGCCUGGUUUGCAGGUCACACACACACCCU
Serinus canaria (Common canary) is the source of this 150-nucleotide long non-coding RNA. RefSeq lists it as uncharacterized. The record is from RefSeq and is a predicted model, not a curated record. The transcript has 3 exons. NCBI's taxonomy places the organism in Eukaryota, Metazoa, Chordata, Aves, Passeriformes, Fringillidae.